RNAcentral lists this ribosomal RNA (125 nucleotides) under Plesiomonas shigelloides 302-73. RNAcentral's name for it is "partial 23S ribosomal RNA". It matches the Rfam family "Bacterial large subunit ribosomal RNA", at positions 2806 to 2925 of the family's 2925-position model. Lineage: Bacteria; Pseudomonadati; Pseudomonadota; Gammaproteobacteria; Enterobacterales; Enterobacteriaceae. The record is from RNAcentral.
AAGUCAUCCCUGAGGCUAUAAGCCUCCUAAAGGGUUGUUGGAGACUACGACGUAGAUAGGCAGGGUGUGUAAGCGUAGCGAUACGUUGAGCUAACCUGUACUAAUUGCCCGUGAGGCUUAACCAU